This 851-nucleotide ribosomal RNA is filed under the name uncultured Gammaproteobacteria bacterium. Its description in RNAcentral is "bacterial SSU rRNA". It matches the Rfam family "Bacterial small subunit ribosomal RNA", at positions 57 to 905 of the family's 1533-position model. Lineage: Bacteria; Pseudomonadati; Pseudomonadota; Gammaproteobacteria. The record is from RNAcentral.
GCAAGUCGAGCGAGAAAGUUUCUUCGGAAGCGAGUAAAGCGGCGGACGGGUGAGUAACGCGUAGGAAUCUACCAUUCAGUGGGGGAUAGCUCGGGGAAACCCGAAUUAAUACCGCAUAUACCCUAAGGGGGAAAGAGGGCCUAUCCUUGGAAGCUCUUGCUGUUUGGUGAGCCUGCGUGAGAUUAGUUUGUUGGUGAGGUAAUGGCUCACCAAGACUACGAUCUCUAGCUGGUCUGAGAGGACGAUCAGCCACACUGGGACUGAGACACGGCCCAGACUCCUACGGGAGGCAGCAGUGGGGAAUAUUGGACAAUGGGGGCAACCCUGAUCCAGGCAUGCCGCGUGUGUGAAGAAGGCCUUCGGGUUGUAAAGCACUUUAGGUAAGGAAGAAAAGUUAUUGGUUAAUACCCAAUAACCAUGACAUUACUUACAGAAUAAGGACCGGCUAACUCCGUGCCAGCAGCCGCGGUAAUACGGAGGGUCCAAGCGUUAAUCGGAAUUACUGGGCGUAAAGCGCGCGUAGGCGGUUUGACAAGUUGGGUGUGAAAUCCCCGGGCUUAACCUGGGAACUGCAUUCAAAACUUUUAAACUGGAGUACGGGAGAGGAGAGUAGAAUCCAUGGUGUAGCGGUGAAAUGCGUAGAUAUCAUGAGGAAUACCAAUGGCGAAGGCAACUCUCUGGACCGUAACUGACGCUGAGGUGCGGAAGCGUGGGUAGCAAACAGGAUUAGAUACCCUGGUAGUCCACGCCGUAAACGAUGACAACUAGCCGUUGGACUUUCGAGUUCAGUGGCACAGCUGACGCAUUAAGUUGUCCGCCUGGGGAGUACGGCCGCAAGGCUAAAACUCAAA